RNAcentral lists this ribosomal RNA (483 nucleotides) under uncultured bacterium. Its description in RNAcentral is "partial 16S ribosomal RNA". It matches the Rfam family "Bacterial small subunit ribosomal RNA", at positions 29 to 523 of the family's 1533-position model. The record is from RNAcentral.
AGUGAACGCUGGCGGCGUGCUUAACACAUGCAAGUCGAACGAGAACGGGUUAUAGCUUGCUAUAAUUGUCAGCUAAGUGGCGCACGGGUGAGUAAUGUAUAGGUAAUAUGCCUCUUACUAAGGGAUAACAAAUGGAAACGUUUGCUAAUACCUUAUACUCCUUAUUAACAGAAGUUAAUAAGGGAAAGAUUUAUUGGUAAGAGAUAGCCUGUAUUGUAUCAGUUAGUUGGUGGGGUAAUGGCUUACCAAGACUAUGACACAUAACUGGUUUGAGAGGAUGAUCAGUCACACUGGAACUGAGACACGGUCCAGACUCCUACGGGAGGCAGCAGUGGGGAAUAUUGCACAAUGGACAAAAGUCUGAUGCAGCAACGCCGCGUGGAGGAUGACACAUUUCGGUGCGUAAACUCCUUUUAUAUGAGAAGAUAAUGACGGUAUUAUAUGAAUAAGCACCGGCUAACUCCGUGCCAGCAGCCGCCGUAA